RNAcentral lists this ribosomal RNA (1103 nucleotides) under Calycellina fagina. RNAcentral describes it as "Scutoscypha fagina partial small subunit ribosomal RNA". The stretch from base 205 to 1103 matches the Rfam family "Bacterial small subunit ribosomal RNA", at positions 1 to 1167 of the family's 1533-position model. Lineage: Eukaryota; Fungi; Ascomycota; Leotiomycetes; Helotiales; Pezizellaceae. The record is from RNAcentral.
GCGGCUGAGUAGUGUAAUUACUUAUUUUAUACAGUAAUAGUUAUUACCUAUGAUGGGGAACAGUAUGUGCAUUUUAGCAUGUACCACGGCGUUAUUACGGUUAUCUUUGACCAUAAGGAUACUGCAAAGCUAUGGCAUCUGGUUUGUUAAGUUGGAUUACCCUCUAACUUACUUUACUGUCUAAAAAUUUUAUUAUCCUUUCAGACCUUGGUAAGCCAGCGUCUUUGAGUGGUUUAUCUUUUUUUUUCGGGCUAACGGGGUAGGAUCGAUUUUGUCGAAUAAAGUUCUAGGUUUUUUUUUGAUUAUGACAUAAAUAUACCUAUAUGUCUUGACCAAAUUACGUGCCAGCAGUCGCGGCAAUACGUAGAANACUAGUGUUAUUCAUCUUUAGUAGGUUUAAAGGGUACCUAGACGGUAAAAGUUCAUCUUAAACAGGAUAUGUCUUUACUAGAGUUUUAUAUAAGGAGGUGAGUAUUUGUGGAGUAGAGUUGAAAUUCUUUGAUACCAUAACGACUGGUUAAGGCGAAAGCAACCUUUUAUCUAAUAACUGACGUUGAGGGACGAAGGCUCGGGUCACGAACAGGAUUAGAUACCCUAGUAGUCCAAGCAGAAAAUGAUGAAUGCCAUAGGUUAGAUUGUAUCCUUAGUCGUUUGAUGAAGGUGUCUAUUUUUUAGUCUAUAAAUGAAAGUGUAAGCAUUUCACCUCAAGAGUAAUGUGGCAACGCAGGAACUGAAAUCAUUAGACCGUUUCUGAAACCAGUAGUGAAGUAUGUUAUUUAAUUNGUAGGCACGCGAAAAACCUUACCACAAUUUGAAUAUUAUCAUAAGUGCCUUUUAUUUUUUUUUUUAGAAAAAAUCUUACAACUUUAGAUAUUACAAGCGUUGCACGGCUGUCUUCAGUUAAUGUCGUGAGAUAUAGGUUGAAUCCUUUAAAUUAACGGAAGCCCUUGCUUUAUUUGAGCCUGAGUACUAAAAAGUUUAGCCACUAAGUUAAGUCAGCGCUGACUUUGGUAGAAGUGUCUUUAGGAGGCGUCAUCUUGAUCUUAGCUUAUGCUAUAACUUUUAUACUAUGGGAAUAAAGCAGUUCACCGCGUACAUUGGAU